UAUUUUAAAAAAUUAAUUUAUUUAUAAAAUAUAAAUUUUAUGAUUAAUUAUUUAUUAAUAAAGUUUUAUAAAAAUUAUUUAUUUUAGUAAAAAUUUUAAACUAAUAAAAUUAUUUAUAGUUUAAAGUAAUGAAAAUGAAUUUUAUAAAAAAUAUAUAAGUAAAAUAUAUUUUGUACCUUUUGUAUCAGGGUUAAUUAAUUUAUUUUAAUAAUUUAAAUAUCUCGAAAAUAAAUGAUCUAAAUAUAUAUAAAUUAUGAAUAUUUUUGUUAAAUAAAAAAAUUAAAUAUAUAUUUAGAAAUUAAAUGUUUGUCGUAUUUAUUUAUAUCUAGUUUUUUUUGAAAUAAAUUUAAUUUAUAUUUUAAAAUAAUUAAUAAAAUAAUAUUAUUUUAUUAAUUUUUAAAAAUAAAAAAUUUAUGGGAUAAACUAUAAAUUUAAUAUAUCAUAUUUAUAAUUAUAAUUAAAAUUUUGAUUUUAAAAUUGAAUAAUAANNNNNNNNNNNNNNNNNNNNNNNNNNNNNNNAUUUUAAAGAUUUAUUAUUAAUAAAUUUUUAAAUAUAUAUAAUUUUUAAAAAAAAAAUAUUUUAAAUUUUUAAAAAUAAAUUAAAAUGAUUAAAUUAGUAAUAUAAUUUUGUAUAUUAUGUAAAUAAAUUAUAUAUAUAUAUAUAAGGAAUUAGGCAAAAUAAUUAUAUUCACCUGUUUAUCAAAAACAUGUCUUAUUGUUAAUAAUUUUAAGUCGAUCUGCCCAAUGAUAAUUAUUUAAUGGCUGCAGUAUAACUGACUGUACAAAGGUAGCAUAAUCAAUUGGUUUUUAAAUGAAAUCUGGAAUGAAAGGAUUAAUGAAAUAUAUUCUGUCUCAUAUAUAUUUUAUGAAUUUAAAAUUUUAAUAAAAAUGUUAAAAUUUUUUUAUGGGACGAUAAGACCCUAUAGAAUUUUAUAUAAAAUUUUAUUUGUAAUUAAUAUAAAUUAAAGUUUUAUAUUUAAUUGGGAGAAUUAUUAAAUUUAAUAAAUUUUAAUUUUUAUAAACUUUGAUUUAAGAAAAUUGAAUUGAUCUUUAAUUUAAAAUUAUUAGAAUAAAUUACCUUAGGGAUAACAGCGUUAUAUUUUUUUAUAGAUCUUAUAGAAAAAAAUGAUUGCGACCUCGAUGUUGAAUUAAGAUAAAUUUUAAAUGCAGGAGUUUAAUAAUUAAGUCUGUUCGACUUUUAAUAUCUUACAUGAUUUGAGUUCAAAUCGACGUAAGUCAGAUUGGUUUCUAUCUAUAAAUAUAUUUUAAAUUAUUUGUACGAAAGGACUAUAAUUUAUAAAUAUUUUAUUUUAGAUUAAUAAAUAUAUUUAAUAAAAAUUAUUUUAGCAUAUUUAGUGCUUUAAAUUUAGAAUUU
This 1375-nucleotide ribosomal RNA is filed under the name Melipona fasciculata. RNAcentral's name for it is "16S ribosomal RNA". Lineage: Eukaryota; Metazoa; Arthropoda; Insecta; Hymenoptera; Apidae. The record is from RNAcentral.